This 779-nucleotide small RNA is filed under the name Pongo abelii (Sumatran orangutan). RNAcentral's name for it is "retained intron". Lineage: Eukaryota; Metazoa; Chordata; Mammalia; Primates; Hominidae. The record is from RNAcentral.
GAGGGAUUCAGCACUCGGAGCGUGCCUUCCGACGCGCGGAGCCAUGGCAGCCCUGCUGCUGCUGCUGUUGCUGCCAGUCGGCCCAGCCCCUCUGGUGGCGACACUGUGCUGCCCAAAUCCAUCAGCAGUGCCCAUGAUACCAGGGGUUCCAGCGUCCCUGAAAAUGAUCGGUUGGCUUCCAUAGCUGCUGAAUUGCAGUUUAGGUCCCUGAGUCGUCACUCAAGCCCCACGGAGGAGCGAGACGAACCAGCAUAUCCAAGAGGAGAUUCAAGUGGGUCCACAAGAAGAAGUUGGGAACUUCGGACACUAAUCAGCCAGAGUAAAGAUAGUGCUUCUAAACUAGGACCCAUAGAAGCUAUCCAGAAGUCAGUCCGAUUGUUUGAAGAAAAGAGGUACCGAGAAAUGAGGAGAAAGAAUAUCAUUGGUCAAGUUUGUGAUACGCCUAAGUCGUAUGAUAAUGUUAUGCAUGUUGGCUUGAGGAAGGUGACCUUCAAGUGGCAAAGAGGAAACAAAAUUGGAGAAGGCCAGUAUGGGAAGGUGUACACCUGCAUCAGCGUCGACACCGGGGAGCUGAUGGCCAUGAAGGAGAUUCGAUUUCAACCUAAUGACCAUAAGACUAUCAAGGAAACUGCAGAUGAAUUGAAGAUAUUCGAAGGCAUCAAACACCCCAAUCUGGUUCGGUAUUUUGGUGUGGAGCUCCAUAGAGUAAGCCGGCCCUAAUGCCACUCUGUGUGUGAGGAGUCAGUGAGGGUACAGAAUGGAGUCCUGUUCUACAUCAC